RNAcentral lists this non-coding RNA (138 nucleotides) under Viridibacillus arenosi. RNAcentral's name for it is "FMN sequence". It matches the Rfam family "FMN riboswitch aptamer (RFN element)". Rfam says of the family: The RFN element is a highly conserved domain that is found frequently in the 5'-untranslated regions of prokaryotic mRNAs that encode for flavin mononucleotide (FMN) biosynthesis and transport proteins. This element is a metabolite-dependent riboswitch that directly binds FMN in the absence of proteins. The record is from RNAcentral. RNAcentral also lists the same sequence under 1 other name. Lineage: Bacteria; Bacillati; Bacillota; Bacilli; Caryophanales; Caryophanaceae.
GUUCAUCUUCGGGGCAGGGUGAAAUUCCCGAUCGGCGGUAUUAGAGAACUAAGCAAUACUCUUGAGCCCGCGAGCCGCAAGGCAGGAUUUGGUUAAAUUCCAAAGCCGACAGUAUAGUCUGGAUGGGAGAAGGUGAAG